RNAcentral lists this transfer RNA (80 nucleotides) under Eubacterium sp. RNAcentral's name for it is "tRNA-Leu". It matches the Rfam family "tRNA". Rfam says of the family: Transfer RNA (tRNA) molecules are approximately 80 nucleotides in length. Their secondary structure includes four short double-helical elements and three loops (D, anti-codon, and T loops). Further hydrogen bonds mediate the characteristic L-shaped molecular structure. tRNAs have two regions of fundamental functional importance: the anti-codon, which is responsible for specific mRNA codon recognition, and the 3' end, to which the tRNAs corresponding amino acid is attached (by aminoacyl-tRNA synthetases). tRNAs cope with the degeneracy of the genetic code in two manners: having more than one tRNA (with a specific anti-codon) for a particular amino acid; and 'wobble' base-pairing, i.e. permitting non-standard base-pairing at the 3rd anti-codon position. Lineage: Bacteria; Bacillati; Bacillota; Clostridia; Eubacteriales; Eubacteriaceae. The record is from RNAcentral.
GCGGGAUUGACGGAAUUGGCAGACGUGCAGGAUUUAGGUUCCUGUGGGCGACCGUGUGGGUUCGAGUCCCACAUUCCGCA